Long non-coding RNA from Topomyia yanbarensis, 517 nucleotides. RefSeq lists it as uncharacterized. The record is from RefSeq and is a predicted model, not a curated record. The transcript is spliced from 3 exons. Lineage: Eukaryota; Metazoa; Arthropoda; Insecta; Diptera; Culicidae.
CUGUCAUUUGCCAAAACCGAACCGGUUGACUUCAUCCACCGGCUCCGACUGGCUGUCGCAUGAAUAGAUCCUGGAGAUGGCACUUCAACGUUCAACCCUUCUCUUCAUCUAUGGCAAACAUAAAAACACACAGGACCCAUUAAGAAUUCGAAUCUCAUCACUGCACCGUUGUUCGUCGUAAUGCCAAUUGGGCCAGCUCUACGUCACAGAGGAAGGCACUUGCCGAGUUUAACCCUAUAAUUUUUAGCAAAUAAUCAUCAAAAUAUCACUCUCGUUACUCCAGUGAUAGGGGGAAAGAAAACAAAGGACAAAACAGCAGACCAUUUUCUUUGAAUUUGCCGCAUUCAACCCAUUAGCACAGUCACAGCCGAAGACUGCGACUUUAGUUGGGACAAGGUGCCUACUGUUAGAAAGAACGUGUACAUGUGUAUGGCACGAUAGAACAAAUGAAGCAAAGCGCCAAUCAGCGGAGAAAGAUACCUAACUCUGCUGGAAAUUGAGGGAGCAUUACCCUCGA